GAUGAAGAACGUAGCGAAAUGCGAUAACUAAUGUGAAUUGCAGAAUUCAGUGAAUCAUCGAGUCUUUGAACGCACAUUGCACCCCCUGGUAUUCCGGGGGGCAUGCCUGUCCGAGCGUCAUUGCUGCCCUCAAGCACGGCUUGUGUGUUGGGCUCCGUCCCCCCGGGGACGGGUCCGAAAGGCAGCGGCGGCACCGAGUCCGGUCCUCGAGCGUAUGGGGCUUUGUCACCCGCUCUGUAGGCCCGGCCGGCGCCAGCCGACAACCAAUCAUCCUUUUUUCAGGUUGACCUCGGAUCAGGUAGGGAUACCCGCUGAACUUAAGCAUAUCAAUAAGCGGAGGA
This 341-nucleotide unclassified non-coding RNA is filed under the name soil metagenome. Its description in RNAcentral is "partial contains 5.8S ribosomal RNA, internal transcribed spacer 2, and large subunit ribosomal RNA". The stretch from base 1 to 120 matches the Rfam family "5.8S ribosomal RNA", at positions 35 to 154 of the family's 154-position model. The record is from RNAcentral.